Molecule: long non-coding RNA, 482 nt
Organism: Mustela erminea (ermine)
Lineage: Eukaryota; Metazoa; Chordata; Mammalia; Carnivora; Mustelidae
Exons: 4
Source: RefSeq, a predicted model, not a curated record
UUUCCAGUGUAACAGAUUUCAUUGUCCCAUGUUUUUAAUUCUUAAAAAAGUUAUACAUUUGUCCCGUGAAGGGCAUGUGAAGUAUAUGUGAAAGAAAAAGACUAAAAUGGCUGAACUUUACUAAAAAUUGGUCACAUCUCAAAAUAAAUCUUGGUUAAGUGAUCAGUCAUAAAGAAAUGUAUUGAAGGGGAGUGGUGCACACGACAGGGGAAGGAAGAGUGCAUCUGGCAUCCAGACAUGAUUUUGAAGAGUGUUUAAUGAAGGAAGAAGAACUCUUGGCCAGUACUGGAUGACGUGGGCGCGCUCCUCCACAAAGCUUAUCCUCACCUCCUUUCUCCUCCACUACAGAGUGAGGGACCCCUUUUGACCUCUGGCUGAGGUGACUCCUUGGUGAGGAAACAAAGACUGGGGAAACCAGCUGAACGGAUCUGGCCUGAAAAGAGAGAGAUCACAAGCAGGCAGAGAGAGAGGGGGAAGCAGGC